RNAcentral lists this ribosomal RNA (220 nucleotides) under uncultured Diversispora. RNAcentral's name for it is "partial small subunit ribosomal RNA". It matches the Rfam family "Eukaryotic small subunit ribosomal RNA", at positions 591 to 815 of the family's 1831-position model. Lineage: Eukaryota; Fungi; Glomeromycota; Glomeromycetes; Diversisporales; Diversisporaceae. The record is from RNAcentral.
CCAAUAGCGUAUAUUAAAGUUGUUGCAGUUAAAAAGCUCGUAGUUGAACUUCGGGGUUCACCCAUUGGUCAGGCUUAAUUGUCUGUACUGGUGAGAUGAGUCUCUACCUUCUGAGGAACUUUCAUGCCAUUUAUUUAGUGUGAUUGGAAAUCAGGACUGUUACUUUGAAAAAAUUAGAGUGUUUAAAGCAGGCUAACGUCUGAAUACAUUAGCAUGGAAU